Molecule: ribosomal RNA, 253 nt
Filed under: uncultured bacterium
Lineage: Bacteria
Description: partial 16S ribosomal RNA
Rfam family: Bacterial small subunit ribosomal RNA
Source: RNAcentral
UACGUAGGUGGCAAGCGUUGUCCGGAAUUAUUGGGCGUAAAGCGCGCGCAGGUGGUCCUUUAAGUCUGAUGUGAAAGCCCACGGCUCAACCGUGGAGGGUCAUUGGAAACUGGGGGACUUGAGUGCAGAAGAGGAUAGUGGAAUUCCAAGUGUAGCGGUGAAAUGCGUAGAGAUUUGGAGGAACACCAGUGGCGAAGGCGACUAUCUGGUCUGUAACUGACACUGAGGCGCGACAGCUUUGGGAGCAAACAGG